AUGGGUAGCACGGAAGCCCCAACGCCCGUGCAGGCACCUGUGUGCUCCAUUGUGAACGAAGGCCCACCAGCUCCAGCUGCUUGCUCCAUUGUGAACGAAGCCCCAGCUCCUGCCACUGACUCCAAGCCCAAGAAGAAGAUAUGCUGCGCUUGCCCCGACACCAAGAGGCUGAGAGACGAGUGCAUCGUCGAGUACGGGGAGUCUGCGUGCACCAAGUGGAUCGAGGCUCACAAGCAAUGCCUCCGUGCCGAGGGCUUCAAAGUCUGA
RNAcentral lists this ribosomal RNA (267 nucleotides) under Triticum aestivum (bread wheat). RNAcentral's name for it is "partial small subunit ribosomal RNA". Lineage: Eukaryota; Viridiplantae; Streptophyta; Magnoliopsida; Poales; Poaceae. The record is from RNAcentral.